CCACACAGGUGCUGCACGGCUGUCGUCAGCUCGUGUCGUGAGAUGUUGGGUUAAGUCCCGCAACGAGCGCAACCCUCAUCUUUAGUUGCCAUCGGUUCGGCCGGGCACUCUAAAGAAACUGCCUGCGAUGAGCGGGAGGAAGGCGGGGACGACGUCAAGUCAUCAUGGCCCUUAUGGACUGGGCUACACACGUGCUACAAUGGCGGUGACAAUAGGCAGCGAAAGGGCGACCUGGAGCAAAUCCUAAAAAGCCGUCCCAGUUCGGAUUGUACUCUGCAACUCGAGUACAUGAAGUUGGAAUCGCUAGUAAUCGCGGAUCAGCAUGCCGCGGUGAAUACGUUCCCGGGCCUUGUACACACCGCCCGUCACACCAUGGGAGUUGGCUUUACCUGAAGCCGGUGCGCUAACCGCAAGGAAGCAGCCGACCACGGUCAGGUCAGCGACUGGGGUGAAGUCGUAACAAGGUAGCUGUAGGGGAACCUGUGGCUGGAUCACCUCCUUU
Molecule: ribosomal RNA, 502 nt
Filed under: alpha proteobacterium OM25
Lineage: Bacteria; Pseudomonadati; Pseudomonadota; Alphaproteobacteria
Description: bacterial SSU rRNA
Rfam family: Bacterial small subunit ribosomal RNA
Source: RNAcentral